RNAcentral lists this long non-coding RNA (294 nucleotides) under Ornithorhynchus anatinus (platypus). RNAcentral's name for it is "lncRNA (ENSOANG00000048307.1)". The record is from RNAcentral. Lineage: Eukaryota; Metazoa; Chordata; Mammalia; Monotremata; Ornithorhynchidae.
GUCCUUAGCAUAUAGUAAGUGCUGGUAAACACUGAUAUUAUUGCUGAGUCUCUCCAUCCUCAUUUCAGAUGAUCUGUUCUCCCACUGGGUUCGAGUAGCAGCCGCUCCCUGUGUUGAACAACAGUUACUUGACUCCAGCCUUUGGUUUGGGACUGUUGAACUGCCAGUUAGAAGAGCUGCCGUGGCUUUCUGGAAAGCUUCGAGAGCUGUGGAGCUGCCCAUUUGGAUUGGAAUCGGGCCUAAAAGAUUCUGCUCUGGGGACAGACUGGCUCUGCUGCAAUACAAUGUUCUUCA